UAGGGAAUCUUCCACAAUGGGCGAAAGCCUGAUGGAGCAACGCCGCGUGUGUGAUGAAGGGUUUCGGCUCGUAAAACACUGUUGUAAGAGAAGAAUGACAUUGAGAGUAACUGUUCAAUGUGUGACGGUAUCUUACCAGAAAGGAACGGCUAAAUACGUGUCAG
Molecule: ribosomal RNA, 164 nt
Filed under: uncultured bacterium
Lineage: Bacteria
Description: partial 16S ribosomal RNA
Rfam family: Bacterial small subunit ribosomal RNA
Source: RNAcentral